AUUGAACGCUGGCGGCAGGCCUAACACAUGCAAGUCGAGCGAGCGGCGGACGGGUGAGUCAUGCCUGGGAAUUGCUCAGUCGGGGGUGAUAACAGUUGGAAACGACUGCUAAUAGCGCAUACGUCUGGUUUGCUCGAGGUGGAUUAGCUAGUUGGUGAGGUAAUGGCUCACCAAGGCGACGAAGCCUAGCUGGUCUGAGAGGAUGAUCAGCCACACUGGAACUGAGACACGGUCCAGACUCCUACGGGAGGCAGCAGUGGGGAAUCUUGCGCAAUGGGGGAAAGCCUGACGGAGCCAUGCCGCGUGUGUGAAGAAGGCCUUCGGGUUGUAAAGCACUUUCAGCAGGGAAGCGGUACUCGCAGAAGAAGCAACGGCUAACUCCGUGCCAGCAGCCGCGGUAAUUC
Molecule: ribosomal RNA, 404 nt
Filed under: uncultured bacterium
Lineage: Bacteria
Description: partial 16S ribosomal RNA
Rfam family: Bacterial small subunit ribosomal RNA
Source: RNAcentral